GUCUUGCCUUAGGUUUUGUAUCCUAAAGAAGUCUUGCUUCGAGUUCUUUGUCAAGUAUAUGCAUGUAUGGUAGAGCAAACGUGAACAGACCCGAAGGAUUAUCAUCUUCUUGCGAUAUUCGUCGAUAUGUUUUCAUCCUGAUCGUAGCACCUCUAGGUAGUCGAUGCAUAGCGGCACAUCAAAGCGGAACACUGCUUCGCCCCUUUUCAUCGUCAGAAACGAUGUCUUUAGCGAGAAUAUCACAGGCACUAUAUUAUGCGGUUUCUUUUUUCCUUCUGACCCUCGAUCUCGAUAAUCGAGCCCCAACCUAAGCAAGCGUAUCUAUUACAGAUGUAUCGUGCAGGCGGAAAAGAUCAAGCGACUCGUGGGUCCAGGUUUGCGCACGUUAUCAACCUGAGACGAAGAUGCAAUUCACCGACAAGACGUAUCAACACCAUUAACGCUGCUAGAAGCUGCGGCCCUAGACGUACAGUUUGAGAGCAGAGAAACCUUCACGAAAUGAUAUCUUCAAAUAAAAGCCUACCCCUCAAAUACUCGAACCAUUGCCCGCACAGCUGGCUGCCUCAAGUCAACCAACGCAAUGUAAAAAGGCCGCGUUAGUUCCGCUGAACUGAUUCUCUCUCUCUGUCUCCAUCGUCGUAUCUUCUUCGUGCCGGAAACCGCACUCCGCCCUCGCAGUGAUCGUAGCGCCGACCGCAAUCGCGUGAGUUCGUCGAUCUCACACCUCCUUGCUCUAGCGAGAGGCGUGGCGCGGAAUCGCCACCGUCGGGAAAUCGCGCUACUCAGUAGGGUUACUUGAGGCGAAGUCGGGAUCGCCACGGCGAAGACAAGGAGGUGACAUAACCCCUUACAAUCAUAAACGCCUAAAGGGUGCAGCUAGUCCCGUUGUUGAUGUUACUACGGUGAUAACCGCAUGUUAGAGAAACUCUGACCCUGCGUUGAUUUUGCGCGCAUCGGCGAAGCAGUACUGCAAAGCAUUACAGACACUGGUACUUACUUAGUUGCUACUGAACCAGGGUAUUACCACACAACACCCAAUCAGCUCUGCAGUAAGAAUGAUUUUCCUCGGCUCAUAAAUUACCAACUUAACUGGUUCGUCCCUUCGAGCCAGUAGCGACAAUGGCCAUGAACCAUCUGUUGUUGUGUAAGAUAUACGGGACGAGCUCAUUGUUUCGUUGCUAACGGCGGAAUAACGCUCAUCGCCCAGUGACUGAAAUCUAUGCAGCGACACCAGGCUUCGGUCAGAGAAGAUCUCCAUAAACAUAGACAUACGACAAAUGGGUUAUAUAUCGUCUGCUAACCGCCCUCAGACCCGCCCAAGCCGCGCAGUCUAAUUUGAAGUUCACGUCGAGUCGCGUCCUAUGGUUACUGUAUUCGGUGAAGAACAUUUUCGGUCUACAUAAGGAGUCGUAACCCACACGAUAGCCUUCCUACGACAGCUGCUCCUCAAGCAUCAGUCAGAUCAAAUUUCAGUUAAUCAUGGACUAUUUCCUAUGAGGAUCUUCGCGUCCAGCCUAGCAAAGGUCGUACGUCUGAUCAACUCUCGGGCAGCAAAGAAUUAUGUGAAGUGAAGUAGAUAAAAAAAGAACAUCGAUUUUUUUUCUAUUGAAUUCACUUUGAACCUCAUGCGAACUAGCCUAGUAGAAAUUUGUGCGAACGUGUUAGGCUAGAACUGUUCUGCUGGACUACAAUGUGAAAAAUUGAACUUUGCCGUUGGGCAUCCAUAAAAAAUUAUCGUACUAAUAAGAUUAGAGCGGCGGAAAGCUGAUCGGACGUCGGCUGCAAUUCGCUGUUUAUUUCAAGACAUCAACAAACCUAGAGAGCUGCUUGCAACUGCUAAGGCCCUCAGUUGAAGGCUCUUGAGUAGGCUAAGGUAUUCCUCGCUCAGCUCACCAACUGAAGUCGUUUAACCCGUUCGAGUAUCUAUCUUUAAGUGUGUGCAUGUAUAUGCGCUUUUUCGAACACAAAUGUUCGAUUGUUCACGAAAUGGACAUAGACACAUUGCCAUGACGACCAGUGCUAAGAACUAGAAGUUAGAAGGUGUUUAUAUGUUCCUUAGGUGUCUAGGAGAGAGCUCCCUUUCGUUUAACGGCAUUUAGCGUACGAAGGCAUGGUUGGAACUGCACCAUGUGUCCAAUGCCAUCAUCGCUGCCAAUAGAUCAUCACAAUACAUUAUUAAAUUCAAGGCUUUUAAACUUCUCCUAGCAGAACACCUCCUGAUCAUCCUGGUCGAAGCUGAUUACGCUGAAUUUUCUUAUUAGUCUAAGAAAGUCGAUCGACUGCUUGUACAGUCUCGCAUUGGUUAAUCAUUCUCAUAGCUGUCUAGAACGACAACGCACCACCCAUCGAUUCUACGUUAUCCAACAGAUACUACAUACUCGUUGUUCUGGCCUCAUUUAAUCCAAUCGCGUCGUUAGCCGCUGCUAACUACAAGAUCAUCUCGGGAACCUCGAGUCGUCAUCUUGUCCGCUGUUCAAUAUAUUAUAUAGUAUACUGACGAUGUCGGGCAUGACUACACUGGAAGCCCCCAUUAAGUACGAGCAGCCGCAGUGGCAUCAGAAACAGCCUUAGGGCGAUCCAUCACCUCACUGUUCUCCGAUCUUCGUCGCUUUUCGUUCUCGUCUUCUCGAUUCUUAUAUUUUUUUUUUUUUUUUUUUUUUUUGUUCUCUGAGCUGAGUCAGAACCAUCAUAAAGGAGCAUAUGGUCAGGGAUCUAUCUGUCUGUUUGCGUGUAGCUACUCUGGCAGUCAUAGCCUUCCUGAUUGGUUAUAACACAGAGGGUAAAAGCGGCGUCUUGUGCCGUCACUACCGCAGUUAUGUGAACGGGUAUAGGUAGCUUCUAGAUACAUCACGCGGUACACUGAGUUAGCAAUACCGUGGUAUCGACAAAUGCCGCUUGUAAUGACAAUGUACUGGCUGUAGUCCGUGCUAUGAACAGAAGCCGAAUCUCGAGAAGGCUCUAUGGUACAAAGGGUGCGCGAUGUGUGAUCGAUCUUUCACACUGGCAAGCGAACGAAUGUCGUGUCUCCUCCGUGAUGUUCCCUACCGGGGAAUUGGCACCAUUCCUGUGGCCCCAAUCGGCUCGACGGGCCAGCCCGCACAUCGCAGUGAAGUUUCUUGCAGUUAGUGCUGCUUUUGGUUCGUUGUAAGUUCUACCUGAAUCUGCGCAGUCAUAUAACUUAGCCACGAUACGUCCCGUUUGUAUAAGCUCACUCAGCCGAAGGCAAUAACGGGUUAGUUGUCUGUUACAUAGCUUUUACUAGGGAUGAGUUGCGUUUAAAGCUAACAUCGGUUACUGACGAUGUUAAGGCGAAAGCGAACAAGGAGUGACGCCGACAUCUGAGAAUCACGAAGCAGUGCUUGUCUCAGACUAUGAGCGACACAUGUAUACCAGAAGCACUGUCGUCUGCUUCUCUCAUAGACUGUAUAGCGGCCGAGGCUUAAAUAUUUACUAGCGCCGUCUGGUCUCUCGGACAAAGCGUAUUCCUGCCAACUUCUGACAACUCUUUGUUUCUCGAAAAAAGGCUCUGUUUAAAAAAGACAAUCUGUGUAGACAGUAUUUAGCAAUAUCUAGUGUGCGGAUUAGGGUAUAGUAUUUUUUGCCAGUUAGAACACAUUUACUAUUUUGGAGAGCCGAAUAUGUAGCGCCUGAUCCGUCAUCUCAAUUCCACAUCUCUAGUCCUGCAAAUUUGAAAUGAAGAAAAGAAACAGAAGCAGUAAGGCUUAUCGCUGCUUCGACAUCUCUGAAACGCCAGAGAUUUCGGUCCACUAGAAACCGAUAAAAAGGAAUAAACAAAAUUGUAUUAGACUUAAUAUAUUUAGCUCUAUCGGUGUUUUAAAUUUAAAUGUGGGUCGAACAUUAAUGGGCGAGCCAGCCAUCCGAUGAAUUGCCUAACAGCGUUAGCUGACGCUAAACCCAAAAGAUAGAACAUAUUCAGACAUAUUUGAAUAAUUGAACCAACUGAACACACCUGACGACUAUAUCAGAUACUCAGUUUUUCUGUUGAGGGUUGCAAUCUGAUAAAAAUUUUGGCAAAACUGCCAACAAACGUCAUAGACACGAUGCAGAGCUUUUUUAACAUGACUUCUGCACUCUCAGGGGAACCUUGUACUUCGGAUACGUAACGAGAAGAAUUCUGACGCGGAUAGAGAUGUAUAUGCAGCGCUAUUGGUCACUCGUAUGGAUUUGGCAGCACCACAUAACGUAAUUUUCUGUCUAGUAUUACUUAGCACAGCUUUGAUUAGCAGUAUGAUUUACUCAGCGUUUAUUCAAAUGGAACCGAGAGUUGUCACUUAUGGUUCUGACAUCUAGCGAGAUGUAGAUCAAGCGUAUCCCAGCCCAACAGUCAUAGGUUAUUCGAUCUAUACGGUCCAUACUAGCUCAUCCCGUAUUCGUCAACGGUUUGCUUCCGUAAGAGGAACUUCAAUGAAGAUUUGCCAAGCAAGGCUUACCUGUCAAAGUUCGCUUUUGUCGAUGACACGGAUAGGGCUUCUUUGAAAUAGUCUUCGUCAUACAAGAAUGCUGCCCUACCACAACGUCGCAUGACAGCCAAUCGUCCGCCAGGCUGUUGAACGUAGCUAGUAUCCGCACACGCAUGAACUAACAUAUAUAAUGCUCGAACUUAAGUGAACUUGUCUAAAGAUGAGAACUAGUCCGGGACAAAUCAACUAGCGACUUCGUCCGGCCGAAAAAAGUUCGAUCACUCUGUUCAUGUUCGAAGACUGGUCAUAUCAAGUUGAUUACCCAACCUCCGCCGAAAUGGAUGGGGUUUUUCGACAAAAUGAAGGAAAUGGGGCUACUGCUGCCCGUAGAGCUGCGGCCGUUGUCGAGUAUGUUGUAGAGGUGGAGUGACGAUAUCUGUCUGAUUGAACCCGUCUGACCUCCUUACACCCACAACCCAUUCAAGUCUUAUCAAUUUGCUGUUACCUGAAGUGCAUCAUCAUCGUAGACAGCAGUUCAUGUCCAGGCAUCUUUUGGCAGUUGGAGGAAAUAGAUGGUAUGCGUGUACGAGUGUAUGCGUACGCUUACAUGCACGACUCGCGAGAAAUCUAGGCUAGAUAGGACGCACAUAGGUCGACCUAAAAAAGCUAAUCGAAGACUUGCCUCAGUCUAGCGAGAGAUGCUGUGGUUUCGCCGUUAGUUGCUUCUUUCAAUGCCUAUUUUGCCUGGUUAGGCGGCGCAAUAGUUCUGGCGGAUACAACCGAACAGCACGGUCGUUGCCGCUGUCGCCGCCACCGAGGAAGCCGCGACCGCUUCGAGAGUCAUCUUCAUCAUCGAUCACCCAUUGUCGAGUGAUGAGAAGCCAAUUACAAGCCAAGUACAUCUGUCAUCCUGUUCAGUAGCAGCGAACGUCGACAUCGACGAGGAAUGCUUCAUUCGCGCAACCCCCGCCAUCAAAUCGAGCGUUAGUCCCUCCCGGACCCUUCGUCUUCCUUCUCCACCGUCAUCGCCACUUUAUCUCGAUCUGCCGUACGCCCUAUCAACAUGAUUGACUUUAACAAAUGCUCCGCCGGAUAGAGCUGCAGCAAACCAAGCAAACGCCGAUCUGUUCGAAAACCACGCAACAUCGAUCAGCCUCCACUUAAAUCCGUGUACGCUGUUGCGCUUAACCCCUCGGGUCCGCAGAAAUUCGCUGAACGCGAUUCAGCAGAAUGAAGUUGGCGAGCUCACGGGACCUCGUCCGCAAAUUCACCGGAACGGUCAUCGUUGCCAGGCGCCACAGUGCAAGGGCGCUAACUUCUCAAUGUUGUUUUCUUUUCGGCGGCUCUGCAUCCACUUGGUGUCCACUACGAUUCGCAUUGCUUGUAGUCAGGUCAAACUUCUGUUGUCCCUCAAAGGGCGGUUCUGUCUAGGCCUAGUCGCCGGCCCGUUUCGUCUGUGUGGCCGCCUCUCGAGUUAUCCAAUCUGUUGUCUUGCUUUCGAAGCCAAAUAGGCCAGCAUCAAGCACCUAAGCAGCAGAACUCGGAUGUGUUUCUAGAUGCUUUGAUGCUCACGUUUAUCGCAGUAUCACAACUACAGCUGGUCGUACAGACAUAGACGACCAUCAAAGGUCCUUUUUUGUACCUUUUCUCUUUUGAUGCACUACACGCAACAAACCUACAGAGGAAUAAAUAUCGCAUUCGCCGGUCGCUACGGGCGCUGCAAAUACUGUCUGCAUUUGGUCUACUUUAGCUAUUAGGAGAGCCAGGUCUGACGCGGAUUCUUCUUUUCAGCCAGCAGUCCAGUGCAAUGGUUCUGGCCAUAUGCUACGCUGUUCCGGAGCGCGCCCAACGGACGAAAGAAAAACAGGGCUCUGCUCCGCGAUGCACCGAGUAUAUCGUAAGAGCGACGGCGGCGGCGGCGGCAGUAGUACGAUCUCGUAGGCGCAAUACAACGGAGUCUUGCUAAAACAAGAAAUCACUAACAGCUACAGACAGCGAGCGAGCGGUAUUGCCCGAGGCAGCGCGUAGGCAGAGAGGCGCAUAGCUCAGCGAAGAGGUAAACGUUUUUACGAGUUUCUUUUUUUUCUUGAUUUUUCAUGUUGUUAUAAUACUAUAGAGGCUUGCGCGUAUUGAAGACGACGAUGUCCCGGUGUGACCGAAGAUCCAGGAUCCGGGCCGCCGGAGGUUGAUUAAGGAGGCCUGAGGGCCAUGGCUUUUAUCCGGACGACGACGAUAAGGUGAAGAAUUCGAGCUUCAGUUCAUUGCGUGUGAGUGAAGUGCGUGUGUAGUUUAUGUAGUGGGCGCGGGUCGAAGGUAUUUUGAGAGAGUCAAACAAUGAAAAGGCGCCAAUCGUAAAAUCUAAUUGAAAUUAAAUUUAUGCCGAUCGAUGCCGGCUGAUGCGGCUACCGCCCAACCGUUACGUUGGUAUGAAGCAACCUUCGAACGCGGGUGGUUAUCUCAUGCUUUUAGAUACUUCUGUCUCGCGCCCUCUAUUCAGAUGAGGAAAUGAACUUUUACACUUGAACAAAAUAGAAAUCCGUUCCGUGAUUAACAACAUAGAGCUGUUAGAAUUUCAACCGUUUGUUUACAGGCCGUUGCAAGACCGCGUCAUCGAUAGGUCGACAACUAGUCGUAUCAGCACUGUACUGCUAGCUGCGACGUUUGUUUUUACCAGACGAUGAAGUUGUUCCUAAGUUUAGACAAAGUUGAACUAGAUUACCGCAAAUCGUUCGGAUCAGCCUAUAAAGCGACGAAAACGUUUUAGCUACUAUCGAGGUCAAAAGCCCAGCUAGCGCCACUAUCGACAGAGACAGCCGUGACUGUCGGUCAACUGCCCAUGAACAGUCCGUAAGUUUCAGAAUAGAUGAGGUCCAAAAGCGGAGCUACGUCACUUAUUCUCAAUAUAUAACAAAAUGCAAUCAUCCGACAUUAAUUUUUACGCAUUAUAUCUAGAUGUACAGAAACAUGCAAUGGUAUACUGCGGACUGGUACGUUUUCACGCUCCUUGUGCAUGGCCGGCCAGUCGGUCAAAUCAGAGUAUUGACUGCUUUGUUCCUGCGGGGCGUGUUCCAAGAAGCGACAGAUUGUCCGGCAACAGACCUCCUCUUCUGUGUCUCCCAAACACCAGAACCAUAAGGGUCAGCAUGAUCAUGACCAUCGAUGUGGGUAUAUAUGAUGAUGCAGUACAUAGCAUCGACAACUCUGAGACAACAGCAGGAUCUGUAACAAUGCUGGCGUCAGCUACAGGCGUUCGCCGGAAUCGUCAACAGCUUCGCACUCAUCUCAUGCGCCAGCCGAACCAUGGCAAGAGGCCAACGGCUGGUCGAUAAUAGACAAACGUUGCUGCAAGUGAGCGUCCUAGGCGCAUGCAAACCGACGUCCAAUGGGACGACCAUAGGAGGCGCUUGCGCUAUAGCCAUUCGUAUUGGGCCAACUGUUCAAAAUGUUGGCGCGAAGCUUGAAAUAGCUAAAAAAUUGCAAAAAUCGAAUCCGUCCGUCGCAAGUGGAUUCCGCGAAUAGGCAAAGGUGUGAUAGGUGUCUGUAUUGUUCGUUCGGUACUCGCCUCACGGACGAGAUCGACAAAGGGACGGGCUCGAGCUUCCGAUGCCACCGCGGCAGUAGCGGCAAUUCAAAGCGCUACUAUUAUGAACAUACUGGCGUAGAUACGAGCACAAUUUAAUAUUAAUCGUUUUCAAUUCACACCCAUCCGUCUGUGUUCAAUAUAUGGCACAGCUAUAUCUACAACUGUUAUUUUCAUCGGCAAUGUUUUUCACGGAACUCCUGGCAGCAAACAUUAUUAGCUGCCCAUGUCUACGAAACGAAAUAUAUGGUUAUUGAUGUUUUGCAAAGAUCGCGACAUAUAAUAGUCCUCGAUCGUGCGGAGACAUAGGUCGUCGGCUACACAGGCAUUCUGCAGAUCCAGGCCUAUCAGGCAGAACCUGAUUCGCUUUCGUUCUUCCUGUACAUCCUCACCGCCAGAGCAACUGAUCUCUCUCUCUCGUCACCCAUUACGAAUAGCGUCGGUCGUAUCAAAUGAGCUUACUUAAUCCAGGGUAUACAAGCGGAACGUCAACAACGACACCUCAGAAAGACUUCAAGAAGCAUGUCAGCUUCGGCAACUUUACCUGCGCAUCCGACCGGCGUUUCCAAUCGGAACUUCUUCGUUUUUCAAACAGCCAGCCAUGUCUGCUGUGUAAGCACAGGUGCAGCGACCACCGGGGGACCAUCAACGAGUCCUACUGAACGCUCAGCCACCGCAGCAACCGCAGUCAGCAACGUGGUGGGCAUUCGUCCUUACACCUCCCGUCUUGUGUUGCCAGCCGACCGAUACGAGAAGGCCUAAAGCCAAACGAAUAGAUAAUGGCUAGCAUUCUUAAGUGUGCCGAAAGGCCUUAAGUUAAGGUUUUAAGAAAUGACGGCAUCGUUUACAAAGUCGCCAGCUUCGGCGCCGAUUGCUACGAUAGUCGAGCCCGAAAUCGAAGCGCAACUUAUUGGAGGAUGACUUUCUCCGCCGGUUAGCCAGCCCGUCAACGGUUUCACUUCCUAUAACAUCUGCGACGGAUAGAAGCUAUACUUCCGUGUUAUUGUACGCAACGCAUAGAGGAAGAUAUCCUCGUCGUAGCCUAAGAGGAUUUCGUCGGGAACGUGUUUCAGCAUCGCUAGGAAGAAAAAGCUGUACUGGGAUAAUUUGACUCUAGGUCGAAGUAGAUCUGAUCCAGGUGUCACUGCUCUCGUUCUUCUUUAGCAGUUCGAAAUUGAACUUCGGUAUAUUCGACUGCUGUGCCCUUUUGCGUUCCUCUAACCUGUAGACAUUCACUACAUAGGCUAGCCAGCGGAAUCAGCCGAACGUGUGUGCAUGUAUCGUUAUUCAGGUAGAUGUACCAGAGGUUAAAUGCCCUCGAAGAACAGACGAAUAGCAAGGCUUCGACCUAGCACGAAGGUCAUAACCAGAGCUGAGGUUCAUGUCUGAGCUGAAAAUAGGAAACCUGGAAGGUGCGGCGCAGUUGUUCAAGUCGGACAGAAUAGGACAAACGACAGUAAAAGAAGCAGAAGAGGUCGCUCGCUCUGAUGCUGGCAUUUGCCGCGGUAUCUGAGCUACUUGUUGCCAGGUGGCAGAGACUGAUAGAACCUACGCCUGCACCAACCUGCGCCUGCUGAGCAGGUCACGAAUCUGGGUUAAGACAGCGCUAAGGCGGGCACCUUCUGCCAGAAGUGUGCACUUCUUACCUAUUGCAUUCAACCAGAAUUAAGGCACGAAGUAGAAGUUCGGCAGCCUGGCGCACGCGGACCUUGCGCCGCCGUUUGUGAACUAGAAGCAGAAGUUGUUCAUGAGCGAGCAUCGAGAGCAGCAUCAUCAGCCAGACAAGCUGUGAUCAUCAGCGCGAUGCAGGUUGCCGACCUCAAACAAUAACACGUACUGCGACAUAGAACACGGUGGUAUUGUCAAGGUUUGUUGCACUACCAUUUCCUGUUUACGCUCUGCUGUUACUAGGGCUCGUGGAUCCUCCAGUUGAUCAAAGGCAAGCGCGCACCUGAAAUCCGAGGUCUCCAUGCACUGACGCAUGGGAACUCAAUUCGAAAAUAGACUAUCAGAAGCGCCUUCUCAUCGGCAGCCGAAAGAACGACGCUGCUCGUGUUGACGGAGCAGCUUUACUCACUGGCUUGUAGAGUGGUUGAAUUGUCGUGAACUUUCCAAGUUCUACUCGCUGGCCGAACAUCGUAGCUAGUGGUGUCAAAGAAGAUUAUUGACCCGUGUAGGGAAACCAUUGAGCAGGCGUUUUAUGUUUUGCAUGUUUCAAACAUCCGUAUCAAUCUAUGAGUUAAUAUAGGUAACCUAUUGGUGGCCGGACAGCCUUACCUGAAAUUAGAAAAAAAAAAAAGAAAGUGCACCUUAUGUAGAGAUGUUACUGCCAUGUCUAUGUGUACUAUAACAAACAGCUGCGCUCACGAUGACUUUCAGUAUGAUGGCUUGAAUGAUUGGGCUAAAGCACCCUACGAACAUCCGUCAAUCGGCAUUGCCAUGGACUAAAUGUUCAUCGUAUACUGCAUAUAUAUAUUACAGAUAAAUGCCAGCUACAGUAACUACGCCAUGCUUGAUAUAUGCUUAUCAUCAAUACAACGCAUACAGCGUCUGAAUCUCGUCGCGUUAACAAUGAGCUGGUAUGAAGAUAAUUUGAUUAGAGUAAAAUGAAUAAAAAUUCGUUUGUCCGUUUACCCCGCACCCCACUGAAUUGUCAUCCUUCGCAACUGCAAAAUCUAGUGAACUGUGUUGCCAGUAGUUCAAGUCUCGCGAAAGGGGGUACGAACUCUUGCAAGCACGUGUCCAGUAUAAUUCAAUUGUGCCGACGCUCCAGCCGGUCGCCCCCUUCCAAAUGAACCCCAUGUACCCCAUGUAGAGCAGCACCGUAUGCCCGCAAGCUGGGCUGGCAUCCCUCUUCUAAAUUCUAUACAGCAGAAACACCCGCUAUCAAUAUCAUAGCCUUGUCUCGAAUUCGUUGUCAACCUGGCUUUACUAGUAGUACAAGUAUUUUAGUAGCACUGAUAGCGGCUGGCAGUAUCACAUGCUUCAUCGCGGCUGUCCGCCUCUCGAAAGGUGGAUGCCAAAGCCACCGCCACAAACUUGAUUACAGCCGCGAUUACCUCAGGCCGGGCGGAUAGCAGGCGAGGGCGAACGCUCUAAGUUAAUUUGAUUUCUACUGCAAGCCUUAAGCGGCGGUUCAGGGUCAGCUUGACAGGCUAUUACUACCGAGAACGUAUACUCAGCCACUCGAAGGCAAAACUAUUAAGACUAUCUCAGGUCUAGUAUUAUUAGCUAGUAUUAUGAGAGUAUUACGUAAAUUGUAUUGAAAGCCUCGAAGACAGCAGUCAAACAAACAAAGGACGCUUGCAUCUAGGCUUCUUCGGAGACGCGCCGCACUUUACCGAAAAACCUUAAUAGUGCCCUCGAUGAGAUAUGUAUGUGCCCUCGGCUUCGCAUUAUGUCGCUACGAUGAUGUAAAAGGAGCCCGUACAAGUUCGUUGUUAGCCUCUACUGUAGUAGUCGACUGAGGUAUGACGUCGCGAAGCUCGUUCGUUGGGAUGCAGGUUGAAAUGAACCUUAUACACGACACUAUCUGGCGCAUGCAGGCGCAGCAGUCCCUUGGUUCGCGUAUGGAAAUUCACCGUGGAUGAGCUCUCCCACACAUAGCCAUGCAAGCCCGACACAACCCGUGGGAACGUUGCACACCCAAAAUUACAGCGACAUUGCCCAGCGCUGGAUAUUGGGUUGGCUGUCACAGUUGUUGCAUUUUGGCUACGUAGCAGGCAAACGAAGAUCGAAAUCGACAGAUGUCAGUAGACACUCGCAAACUUACCACGCCAUAACACUUUCACGGGUACGAGGUUGUGUCGCGCCACCUUUGCAAGCGUAGUAAAGUAGCGUGCAGUGACAACUAUACGAGCUUUUCGAGAAAGCGUAUCGGCUGCCUUUCUAAUAUCGCUUAGGUACACAAGUGGUCGAGAUAAGGGCAUUGAGUUCGACGAAUUGUGCCAACGUCCAACGAAUAUGGUAGCGAUUAAGUGCCAAAGCUUGAUAUAAUCAUCUUCGAUUUGGCAAGAUCAAUAUGUGUAACAAUGUAUAUAUAUACACGUUCCUGCUGAUGACAAAGUUACUUUCAUAUUACAGAAAGUAUAACCAGCCCCUUGUCGUUUAUCGAAUUCGCCCCGUCGUUCUGCUAAACUAAUUGACCUUAACUGUUUUGAGUAACGGCCUUCCGUGCCAUGUCGUCUCCUAGUGUAUAGCAGUACGUAAUUGUAUUAUUUACUUUCUAAUCAAUUGCGGUCGCAAACGUCAUUGAUUACAAUAUUAACACUGGUGCCUUAGCGGUGGUUUACAACGUCCAAUGAACUUGUGAGAUCAAGCACAAACUGCUUAGUAUGGUAUCCACGCAGACUCUAGUGGUUCUACCAAGAUUUACAGCCGGCAAAAAAGCUAUGGCUGUCCGCUCAAGUAGACCUCUUGUAAUACUUUGGGCCUGUAGGACAAUUGUAAAGGUUUUUGAAGUCCUUGAAAGAAACAGCUUUGCUCGUCGUGCGAUUGCGUCGAUCUGCCAUCGAAUCUGCCAGCAGCAAUAAACAAUAUCCAGAUUCAGCAUAAUCAGCUGAUAGUCGGGUCCGCAAAACUUUCUAUCCUAACAGAGUAAUCGUAGGGUCCUCUCAGACUUCCGCCGCGUGAAAUUUAAUGAAAUUUAUUGCGGCCUUCAUGACGGCGGCAACCCCGUGACCAAUAUAUGAAGAGGACGAGUGACCACACGACAAUCCGAAGCGCGUUAUUCUAGCGCCCAAAGGUCAGAGUCCAUGAUAUGUUUGUACAUGAACUGAUCUGGGGUCUCUCGAGUUGCCAGCUCGCGGCGUUGACCUUCAAGGUCAAGUUGACUCAAUCUAUACGUAUUCUGGACGCAAUAACAUGACCUAAAGACUCAGCAGCGUAUCGUGCACAGGGUGCAAUGGAACGCGUAUGUAUCUUUAAUCCUGUUACGAGCACGAUUAAAGCCCUAUCGAGUAAGAUAAUGCUUAUAAAUAUACAACUUAUAUGGCUACAUGUAAUAGUUUCAAACGCAUUUAGUUCAGUAACGGCCAACCACACGUAUUACUGAUUAGCGCUUUACGUUCAAAUUACGGCGGUGAGACCAGUUACGUUAGGUCAUAUUUUUCAAAUAUCAAAAAGUCGCUAAGGAUAUUGCGGCGAACCCAGUGAGAGUUUACAAUAAGCUCGUGGAACCUUGUGCUUGACAACCCCGAAAUAUAUUGACAAAAAAUUUACCACGAAUGAACGUGAAGCACGUACAAGAGAUGAAAUACUCCUUUAUUUGUAUUUUGGUAAACCCCUUUCUUUGUAGCCUUUUAUUUGUCCUACAGUUGGCUACACCAACACUCUUUGAUAACGACUAUUGCCUAAUUGUCCCGCUAUAUAAACAAACAAACAAACAAACACUGCGUUUUUCCGAAAUGUUUCUGUUUGUACUAAUUUGGCUGUUUUUCUUACAGACUCUGUCAGAAAAGACAGGAAGGAGAAAUUAGCCAAGAUCCAUGUUUUCAGGCUGAAGAUUUGCUUCCAUAUUAAAAAACGAUAUGCGGUGUAGAUUUUGACCACAUUAUAACCACUUUUUUUCUAAUUAUUCGCAAAGGCUGAAAUCCUACGUUUCAGCAGCAACGGCCCGGUCCUAAGUUAAACUUCAUUCAAAUAGAAGGCCAGCAAAUCUAUGACUGGACGAACUCGUCCCGCAUGCCCCCCAAACCAACCAAAUUAUUCCAAUCUUCAACCGGUAGAAGCAGCAAAAACUUGCAACGAUCAGUUAGCCUGUUAUCCACCUUUUGUCUGGUGCCGUGCUUAAAUCAGCCAGAAGCGGAUGGCACAAAUCCUUUGAGGCUUUUCAGCUCUCGAGAUGUACGCGUGUUUCCCACGCGUCUCACUCCAACCGUUUCUUCUGUCAAUCGCUGAAUUACCUUAAUCAUAAUGCUUAGGGUCGUUGUGGCCGUCCGUCCAACUGUUGGGCCUGCCGCUACUUCUGCUACUACCAUAUUUCUCUCGCUAUUGUGCCGCUUGUCCAGCGUUUCCUCUCCGUAUUUUUCUUCUCUUUGAUGCGUUCUUUAUCUGCUCUCGGCCUUGGCUGGUCUCUAACUUUGCGUGUCUGCUGCAGUCGCGGCGUUGCCGUCGUUGGCUGUGAAGUGUUUGGCCGACCGUUCCAUUCUUGGUCCCGUAUCUGUGCCUGCUCGUGAACUCCACGAGCCUGGCGGCCGCGCGCAAGCGACCCGAACCGGCCUAUCGACUGGCCUGUACAUGGUUUCGUCUGCCGGCUGGCACACAGCACUUUGCCUCUUCUCUUUUCCUGGCUUCCUUCGCCACCAUCAUAGCCACUUGUGUUUGCUGUCAUUCUUGUUCGUAGCUGUCUACGGUGGCUGCUGCCUCGUGCUCGCCACUCGCCACCUGACUACCGGGUCGACCUAGUCGGCCACUGCUGUUCAGGUAACUAUGUCUUUAGGCAGAAACUAUUCCUUCAUCUUCGAUUCGACGGUGCCUGGCGCGGCCGCCAUAGGCAACAACUGCAGUCCGAUGCUCAGCAAAGAAUAGCGAGAGCAGAUUUGUGGUCCUGGUUAGAACACAAUGCUGUUGUCGGCCGGCCUGCAUAUCUACCUAUUGGACGACUUGCAGGCACAAUUGGGGCACACACAGUCCAUGCGAUAGCCACCACAACAGCGCCCGCAGUAGCGACAACCUCAGCCGCCCCCUGCACCUCCAUUUUAAUUCUGCCUGAGACGUCGUAAUGGUUGUGGAUGGACUGUAAUCAAGUAAGUGUUCUGAGGAGGUCAGCGGACCCGUUCCCACGAUCGACGAUGCCGAGAGACACAGCUAACCGACAUUUGUGUCCAGUGUUUACGAACGCAUGCAGCAAAGAUACUUCAUGGACGAGUUGCGCAAGGAUGCAAAUACCUGUUUGAAGAAGCGCAUGAAAAAUUACAAUAACAAAGCUUACUCUCUAAAGCAUGGAGUGUUUCUGGAAGCGUUUUUAAGAGCAGAUACGUAAACGACAGUUAUGGUAACGAUACUGCUCAUCCGUAUCUUUUGUUAUGCGUGACAAAAGAUUUGCCAGUACGUGUCACAAACCAUGGAACCUCGCUGUUAACUAGCUUAUGAGUUGCAGCCUUGCACCCGCAUCACUGUCAACGAAACCACGUCGCGAAGUCCCCAGAGUCUCGAAAAUGUGUCGCUCAAUCUGCUCGAGCCAGACAAAGAAGAUCUACUCCUCAUCGCGUGGGAACGCACGCGUCGCGAAGCUCUCAGACUCGGUCCCAGGCCCGGAGCAGCCAGAUCCGAUCGGCAUAGGACGACGAGUACUCCUCACUUCACCUUCAUGUAGGACGACCGGCCUGUUGUCCUCUCGGCCGGGUACGAAGACCUGAGCCAAGUUGUACUGGCAGGAGGCUAGGUGGGGUAGAAUCGCCUUUAGCUCCGACACCCGACAUCAGGUCGUAGCAGGCGGUAGGUAGUAGCAUUCGAUGUUAGUGUCUGGUACGGCAGCAUGCUAGCGCGCGGUUCGAAACGCAACCCCUGUUUCUCAGGCAGCUCCCUCAGCCUUGCUGAGGUGGUUCAGCGAGCGCUUCAGUUGCAGCCUCAACUUCCUCCUCACCCACUCAGUGGGUAACUCACUGGCUCCGCCUCCUCCGGUACCUCGCCUGAUGAGAGCCAUAAAAGCCGAGCGAACUGGACACCGACAAUCAUUGCAUCUCAGGCAAACCUCGAUCGCCUUGAGCCAUUCUGCGAGCUCAGUGCACAACCUUGGAUACUACCUUACCGACUCCGUUGAAGCUCGUUCUUUUUGGGAUACACCUACGACCAGCCGUUUUACUGAUCAGCUCACUUCAAAACAGCUGAUCACUAACUACCCACAAUGUUCGCCAAGAUUGCACCUCACAACCUACCUUCCUAUUCGAAGAUGGACAAUCUCGACGAUACAUUCAUCAGUGUCCCACCAACGCCGACUAGCCCAAAGGCCCCGCUCAGUCCGGUGGUCUUACCAACGAUAUCAGGCCGCGACCAGACCGACCUACUUGAAAUGGGGCUGUACGUACCGAUUCGCAUCGAGGUCGGCAAACCCGAACCCGCCUCGAGUUUUUUGGCUCCUCGCAAGGACUACGCCUUCUGGAUCUUCCUCUGUGCUAUCCUCUGUAUCUUUGCCGUCGCCUGCGCCACCGUACUGCACAUUACGGCGUCACAGCUCAACCAGUUUCAGCAGCUGAGGACGAUGGAGCUCUACCGCACUAUGAGCUAGGAUGUGUCCUGCCGACGAAACUAGUCAACGUACCAAAUCGAAUCGUCGAUAUUAGUUCAAAGCCGAGACGAAGAACUAAAACUACCAAGUGAUCUUCCUCCCUUAUGAGAGUCUUCUCAAGGAUUGAAGAAACACAGAAUUUCUCAAGGCUCUUAAAAGCUCCCGUGAAAAGCCCGUGUCCUGUUCACUGUGACGGUCAUUUGAGCACAACAAGGAAGGAUGACAAGACAUUGUACAUAUUGUUCCAGUUGCAAUAGUGCCUUAAAGUAUUUAUUAUAUGAACUUUUUUGUAAAUGUCAAACCAAGGCAUAGAUAUUAAAAGAAAACCAUAACUUAUUAUAAAGU
Molecule: long non-coding RNA, 16573 nt
Filed under: Varroa destructor (honeybee mite)
Lineage: Eukaryota; Metazoa; Arthropoda; Arachnida; Mesostigmata; Varroidae
Description: uncharacterized LOC111250447, transcript variant X1
Source: RNAcentral